GUGUCAGCCGCCGCGGUAAUACGUAGGAUCCGAGCGUUGUCCGGAAUUACUGGGUGUAAAGGGCGUGUAGGUGGGUCUCUAAGUCGGUGGUGAAAUCCUGCAGCUUAACUGUAGAAUUGCCCUCGAUACUGGAGAUCUUGAGUGCGGUAGAGGGAGAUGGAAUUCAUGGUGUAGCGGUGAAAUGUGUAGAUAUCAUGAAGAACACCAGUCGCGAAGGCGGUCUCCUGGUCCGCUACUGACACUGAGGCGCGAAAGCGUGGGGAGCAAACAGGAUUAGAAACCCCGGUAGUCC
RNAcentral lists this ribosomal RNA (292 nucleotides) under uncultured bacterium. Its description in RNAcentral is "partial 16S ribosomal RNA". It matches the Rfam family "Bacterial small subunit ribosomal RNA", at positions 505 to 796 of the family's 1533-position model. The record is from RNAcentral.